AGGGUUUGAUUAUGGCUCAGAACGUACGCUGGCGGCACGCCUUAUACAUGCAAGUCGAACGAAGUAGCAAUACUUAGUGGCAGACGGGUGAGUAACAUGUAGGUAUCUGCCCUUUGGCCUGGAAUAACACGAGGAAACUUGUGCUAAUACCGGAUAAGUCUUUACAGAGAAAGCUUUAUGCACCAUUGGAUGAGCCUGCACUUGAUUAGUUUGUUGGUGGGGUAAUGGCCUACCAAGACUGUGAUCAAUAGCUGAUUUGAGAGGAUGAUCAGCCACAUUGGGACUGAGACACGGCCCAAACUCCUACGGGAGGCAGCAGUGGGGAAUCUUGCACGAUGGAGGAAACUCUGAUGCAGCGAUGCCGCGUGAGUGAAGAAGGCCCUUGGGUUGUAAAGCUCUUUCGUCGGGGAAGAAAAUGACUGUACCCGAAUAAGAAGGUCCGGCUAACUUCGUGCCAGCCGCCGCGGUAAUAC
RNAcentral lists this ribosomal RNA (473 nucleotides) under uncultured bacterium. RNAcentral's name for it is "bacterial SSU rRNA". It matches the Rfam family "Bacterial small subunit ribosomal RNA", at positions 8 to 526 of the family's 1533-position model. The record is from RNAcentral.